UGAACGCUGGCGGCGUGCCUAAUACAUGCAAGUCGAGCGAACGGACGUGAAGCUUGCUUCUCUGAUGUUAGCGGCGGACGGGUGAGUAACACGUGGAUAACCUACCUAUAAGACUGGGAUAACUUCGGGAAACCGGAGCUAAUACCGGAUAAUAUUUUGAACCGCAUGGUUCAAAAGUGAAAGACGGUCUUGCUGUCACUUAUAGCUGGAUCCGCGCUGCAUUAGCUAGUUGGUAAGGUAACGGCUUACCAAGGCAACGAUGCAUAGCCGACCUGAGAGGGUGAUCGGCCACACUGGAACUGAGACACGGUCCAGACUCCUACGGGAGGCAGCAGUAGGGAAUCUUCCGCAAUGGGCGAAAGCCUGACGGAGCAACGCCGCGUGAGUGAUGAAGGUCUUCGGAUCGUAAAACUCUGUUAUUAGGGAAGAACAUAUGUGUAAGUAACUGUGCACAUCUUGACUGUACCUAAUCAGAAAGCCACGGCUAACUACGUG
This 495-nucleotide ribosomal RNA is filed under the name uncultured bacterium. Its description in RNAcentral is "partial 16S ribosomal RNA". It matches the Rfam family "Bacterial small subunit ribosomal RNA", at positions 30 to 507 of the family's 1533-position model. The record is from RNAcentral.